CAUACCUAUUCGAAGGGAUAGGGUCGGUUUGGCCGGAUUUCACACAGGUGUUGCAUGGCUGUCGUCAGCUCGUGUCGUGAGAUGUUGGGUUAAGUCCCGCAACGAGCGCAACCCUCAUCCUUAGUUACCAUCAGGUUAUGCUGGGGACUUUAAGGAAACUGCCAGUGAUAAACUGGAGGAAGGUGGGGAUGAUGUCAAGUCAUCAUGGCCCUUAUGGAGUGGGCUACACACGUGCUACAAUGGUGAUUACAAUGGGCUGCAAGGUCGCAAGGCUGAGCUAAUCCUAAAAAAUCAUCUCAGUUCGGAUUGUUCUCUGCAACUCGAGAGCAUGAAGUUGGAAUCGCUAGUAAUCGUGGAUCAGCAUGCCACGGUGAAUACGUUCUCGGGUCUUGUACACACUGCCCGUCACACCAUGGGAAUUGGUUUCACUCGAAGCU
This 437-nucleotide ribosomal RNA is filed under the name Wolbachia endosymbiont of Mindarus japonicus. Its description in RNAcentral is "bacterial SSU rRNA". It matches the Rfam family "Bacterial small subunit ribosomal RNA", at positions 992 to 1428 of the family's 1533-position model. The record is from RNAcentral. Lineage: Bacteria; Pseudomonadati; Pseudomonadota; Alphaproteobacteria; Rickettsiales; Anaplasmataceae.